AGACCCGAAACCCGGUGAUCUAGCCAUGGGCAGGUUGAAGGUUGGGUAACACUAACUGGAGGACCGAACCGACUAAUGUUGAAAAAUUAGCGGAUGACCUGUGGCUGGGGGUGAAAGGCCAAUCAAACCGGGAGAUAGCUGGUUCUCCCCGAAAGCUAUUUAGGUAGCGCCUCGUGAAUUCAUCUCCGGGGGUAGAGCACUGUUUCGGCUAGGGGGCCAUCCCGGCUUACCAACCCGAUGCAAACUGCGAAUACCGGAGAAUGUUAUCACGGGAGACACACGGCGGGUGCUAACGUCCGUCGUGAAGAGGGAAACAACCCAGACCGCCAGCUAAGGUCCCAAAGUCAUGGUUAAGUGGGAAACGAUGUGGGAAGGCCCAGACAGCCAGGAUGUUGGCUUAGAAGCAGCCAUCAUUUAAAGAAAGCGUAAUAGCUCACUGGUCGAGUCGGCCUGCGCGGAAGAUGUAACGGGGCUAAACCAUGCACCGAAGCUGCGGCAGCGAACGUAUCACCCAAGACAACUUUGCGGAGUUGACGAUUGACGGAGCGAAGCGACGUCAAAGCGUUCAUUAAAGUCGAGUUGGCUUAGGGAUACGUUCGUUGGGUAGGGGAGCGUUCUGUAAGCCUGUGAAGGUGGCCUGUGAG
This 644-nucleotide ribosomal RNA is filed under the name Salmonella enterica. Its description in RNAcentral is "partial 23S ribosomal RNA". It matches the Rfam family "Bacterial large subunit ribosomal RNA", at positions 711 to 1267 of the family's 2925-position model. The record is from RNAcentral. Lineage: Bacteria; Pseudomonadati; Pseudomonadota; Gammaproteobacteria; Enterobacterales; Enterobacteriaceae.